This is a long non-coding RNA of Callithrix jacchus (white-tufted-ear marmoset), 1800 nucleotides long. NCBI's taxonomy places the organism in Eukaryota, Metazoa, Chordata, Mammalia, Primates, Cebidae. The record is from Ensembl.
UAGCAAAUAGACUACCAUGUAGUAAAGGAUCAACAAGAAAGUAUGAGUGGCCCAAACCCUGCCUCUUCUAAAGAAAGCUUUGGCACUUACCUGGAUCGUGGGAAAUAAUUUCUAAGCCCCUGGAACAUUUUGCCUGUUAAGAAUGUGUGUCUUUGCCAGACACCUUUGGCCCAUCAGAGAGUCUGUAGUAGCAAUGUAAUUUAUGGUGGGAAUUUUGAGCAGCACGACAUCAGCUUGACCUCUGGAGGGGAUGGAGAAAAGGUCAUCCACCUGGGUAAUCUGCCAUGUCUACGUUGUUAAACCCCCAAUAAAAACUCUGGACACGCAGACUCUGGUGAGACUCUCUGGCUGACAAUACUUAGCACGUGUUGUCACACAUCAUUGGUGGGAGAACUAAGUACUGUCUACAUGACUCAACUGGGAAAGGGCAGCUGAAAACUUAUGCCUGGACUCUCCUGGCCUCUGACCAAUAGAAAUAGCUUAUGUGCUUUUUUGCUGAUUUUAAUCUCUGUCCUUUCGCUGUAAUUAACUGUGAGCAUAACAGUCUUUUAAAGUUCAGUGAGUCCUUUUACUGAAUCAUUAAACCAAAGUGUGAUCUUGAGGACCAAACACAACUACAAAGUCUUAAUGGCAUGACACAAUAAAAGUUUACUUGCUGUUUAUGUGAAGUCUUCUGCAGGACUGGGUGCCCUAAUGGCCAACCAUUCUCUAAGCAGUUAGAGAACCAGGCUCUGCCAUCUCAGAGUCCACUGUUUCUAGUCACACAGACGGCAGAAUGAGAGCAAGGAAGAACAUGCAGGAUGUUUUAGAGGCCAGGCUUGUAAGUUUAAGUGUCACUUCUGUUCAGAUUCUAUUGGCCAGAACCCAGUCAUAUGGUGCCAGCCUAAAACAAGGAUGGUUGAAGAGGGGUCUUCUUGUGUCACCAAGAAGAGGAAAUAAAAAUGGUAGUUUAGUGGUUUGGUGUUAGGAAUGCUGAGUUACUUGUUUAACUGGCCUUCUACGCUUGCCAGCUGGACAGAUUGAAUCGAUUUAACCCAUCCCUGGGUGAUGAAAUUGUCCUCAACCCUAAUAUGGAGGUGGUUUGCAAAAGUAAGUCACUUUUCUUUUCAUAUGCUGCACAAGUAAAAGACAUCUGGUGGCUAUUUUUAAAGCCCAAUAGUUUUAUGCAAUAGUAUGCUGAGAAGUUGCAUGUAUUAUACAUGUUUAUGCUAAAUGGAAUUGUGAUUUCAGUGCACAGCUUUGAGCUGGUUACUUGAAGAAAUCCCACAGGGAAUUGCUUGGGCAGAAAAACAGCCUUUUACAUGGAAUCAGCACAGUUCCAGUCUAUUGCAUUAGGUUUGUAUAAAGGUUGUGUCUUAUGAGAAUCAGAGCUUUGGAAUCACAGAACACAAGGCUCUAAUAUGGGUCAAAUAUGACCUGCUUCACCCUGGAUUAUGGUUUACCUGAAAUUUUGACAGAAACAUUGUUCUUUUCCUAGUUCAGUGUUUGUCACUCUUGACUGUGUAUUAGAAUCACUGGGAGAGCUUUAAAAAAUGUAAAUGAUCUCCUGAUGUCUAUGCUCCUUCCAAGAACUAUUACAUCAGAAUUUCUCAGGGGUAGAGCUCAGGCUUAAGUAUGUUCAAAGAAUUCCCCAAGUGAUUCUAAAGUACAGUCAAGGUUGAGGAAUCACUGCCUCUCACUAGUUAACACACUUUGAAUUUCUAGGCCAGUAAAACUUAACUUCCCCACUGGUGAUGUCAGUUUCAAGUUGGCUUAAAUCAGUUAGUAAUUAUACAGGAAGCUAAAUGUAAUUAAGUGUAC